Molecule: ribosomal RNA, 264 nt
Filed under: Triticum aestivum (bread wheat)
Lineage: Eukaryota; Viridiplantae; Streptophyta; Magnoliopsida; Poales; Poaceae
Description: partial small subunit ribosomal RNA
Source: RNAcentral
AUGGACUGCGUGAUCCAUGUGGUGCUGGGGGUGGCCAUGCGGAGGUGCAUCUGCCGGCUGCACGAGGUCGUCGCCAUGGCGAUGGAGGUCGGCACGGCGCUGCUCGUGGCCGUACGGUUCUCCGGCAUGGCCUUCCGCCACACACCAGCGCCGACUCAGGCGGUCUCGGGGUCGACUCAGGCAGUCUCGGGGUCGACGCACUACUACUACUACGCCCCCGUGGCUGCCUCCAUGGUUGGCAUGUCCCGGCUCGACAGGCACUAG